CUGAUGCAGCCAUGCCGCGUGCAGGAUGAAUGCCCUAUGGGUUGGAACCUGCUUUUAUACAAGAAGAAACCUCGGUACGUGUACCGACUUGACGGUAUUGUAUGAAUAAGCACCGGCUAACUCCGUGCCAGCAGCCGCGGUAAUACGGAGGGUGCAAGCGUUAUCCGGAUUUAUUAGGUUUAAAGGGUCCGCAGGCGGAAUAUUAAGUCAGUGGUGAAAGCCUACAGCUCAACUGUAGAACUGCCAUUGAAACUGUUAUUCUUGAG
This 266-nucleotide ribosomal RNA is filed under the name uncultured Bacteroidota bacterium. RNAcentral's name for it is "uncultured Bacteroidetes bacterium partial 16S ribosomal RNA". It matches the Rfam family "Bacterial small subunit ribosomal RNA", at positions 383 to 646 of the family's 1533-position model. The record is from RNAcentral. Lineage: Bacteria; Pseudomonadati; Bacteroidota.